GAUGCUGUAGAUGGUCUAAACAUUCAAAGGAUAUUGAGUUCUUAAUAUAUAAACCCACACCUCCAUGACAGCCCACUGAACGGUUUUUGAAGAUGAAAUUAUAUCCAUCUAUAUAAAGACACGAUUCGUCAAUUAAUCCAUGGAGCCAAGUUUCGGUGAUACAAGCAGCGUCUGGAUUGUGAAUUUUCAUAAAACAAGAGACUUCGUCAAUUUUAGGGGUGAGUGACAUGGUGUUUGUGAGUAAUAUUUUGGGCACGAACGUCUUUAUGUUCUCAUUUUGGGUUUUAAAUGAGACAGUAAUUAAAUUACCGUGUGUUCUUGAGGGUAUUUUAUAAGAUUUGUUAAAACUUCUGUUUGUGAUUCUAACCGUUAUGUUUUGUAGGUUUUCCUGAUAAGGGGGAGAUGUCAUGAGUUUAUGAUCGUGGAUGUUCAGUAUGUCAGCGGGGGCCAAGUAAGAGCAUUCAUCAGUGGGGGGGGGGGGGAGGAGGAAUCAUAGGCCAGGGGGAAUGGGACAAAAAAGGUGACCUUGUGUUGUGUCUCGUAUCUGGUUGUUUUCUCGUAUCAAGUGUUUUAAACAUAAGACCAUGCAAGUUUAAGUUUUUGUCGUCUUAAUGACAAGUUAUCCCAACGCAGACUAUCUAAU
Molecule: non-coding RNA, 643 nt
Organism: Paramuricea clavata
Lineage: Eukaryota; Metazoa; Cnidaria; Anthozoa; Malacalcyonacea; Plexauridae
Source: the annotation of a GenBank genome assembly